RNAcentral lists this ribosomal RNA (170 nucleotides) under uncultured bacterium. RNAcentral describes it as "partial 16S ribosomal RNA". It matches the Rfam family "Bacterial small subunit ribosomal RNA", at positions 338 to 524 of the family's 1533-position model. The record is from RNAcentral.
CCUACGGGAGGCAGCAGUGAGGAAUCUUGCACAAUGGGGGAAACCCUGAUGCAGCAACGCCGCGUGGAGGAAGACGGCCCUCGGGUUGUAAACUCCUUUUAUCUGGGACGAACAUUGACGGUACCAGAUGAAUAAGAGGUGGCUAACUACGUGCCAGCAGCCGCGGUAAU